RNAcentral lists this RNase P RNA (256 nucleotides) under Candidatus Micrarchaeota archaeon RBG_16_36_9. RNAcentral describes it as "RNase P RNA component". It matches the Rfam family "Archaeal RNase P". Rfam says of the family: Ribonuclease P (RNase P) is a ubiquitous endoribonuclease, found in archaea, bacteria and eukarya as well as chloroplasts and mitochondria. Its best characterised activity is the generation of mature 5'-ends of tRNAs by cleaving the 5'-leader elements of precursor-tRNAs. The record is from RNAcentral. Lineage: Archaea; Nanobdellati; Microcaldota.
GUGGGCUGGGUAGACAGCUGUCCCUUUAAGGGGAGGAAACUCCAUCCACCGUUAAAAUGCCGUUUGAAAGAACCAAGCUGAAAAGUUUGAGAUUUGAUUGGGCACAAAAUGUUCAAAAGAAUCAUGGCAUGGUGUAAGAUCAGACAGCUCUUAUGACGAAAGAGGAGCAGGUAGGUCGCAUAGACGAAUGCUGUCAAACAGAGAUGAACGUGUCUUACGAAAUCUGUUCACAGAAGAUGGGUUAUGCCCAGCACAC